AUAAUUUUUUAUUUUAAAUAAAAUAAUUUUAUUUUAAGUAAAUUUUUUAAUUAAUUUUAAAAUUAUAUAUUUUAAUAAAUCUGUUAAGAAUAUAAAAUUAAUAAUUAAAAAAUAAAAUUAAUAAUUUGUACCUUUUGUAUCAGGGUUUAUUAAAAAUAAAAAACAGUUUUUCUUCCCGAAAAAAAUAAAAAUAAAAAUUAAUGAAAGUUUUUGUUAUAAAAAAAUUUUUAAUUAUUUUUAGAAAUUAAAUGUUUACCGUUAUUUUUUAUAUCUGGUUAAUUUAAAAGUUAAUUUAAUUAAGUUUUUAUUUAAUAAUUUUAAAUUAUUAAAAAAAAUAAAAACAAAAAAUAUUUUUUAUAAGGAAAAUAUUUACUUAGUAAAAUUCCAAAAAUUAAAUAAUUUAAUUUAAUAAUUAAAUUUUAAUAAAUUUGUUUUCCUUUUUUACUUAUUUUUUAUAAAUUAAUUUUUUAAAAUUAUGAAAAGAAAAAAAAUAAUUAUUAAAUAAGUAAUAUAAAUUAAUAUAUAAUUUAUUUAGGAAUUCGGCAAAUUAUAAUUAAUCAAAUGUUUAUCAAAAACAUUUCUUAUUGAAAUAUAUAAUAAGUAUAAUCUACCCGGUGAAAUAUUAAACGGUUGUUUUUAACAUUAAUGUAGCGUAGUAAUUUAUCAUUUAAAUAAUGAAUAUAAUGAAGAUAUUAUGAAUUAAAAUCUGUCUUUAUAUAAUUAAUAUAAAUUUAAUUUUAAGUGAAAAAUCUUAAAUAAUUUUAAAAGACGAGAAGACCCUUUAGAACUUACUUAGAAUUUUAAGUUUACUGGGGAAGUAAAAAUAAAUCAAGAUUUAUUUUUAAAAUUAAAAGAUUUAUCUUAUCAAAAUUUUUAUCCAAUAUAUUGAUUAAAAAGUUACCUUAGGGAUAACAGCAUUAAAAAUAUAAAAAGAUCUUAUUUAUAUAUUUUUUAAUGACCUCGAUGUUGAAUUAAGAUAUUAUUUAAAUGUAUAAAUUAAAAAAUAAUUGGUCUGUUCGACCAUUAAAAUCUUACAUGAUUUGAGUUCAAACCGGUGAAAACUAGGUUGGUUUCUAUCUUUAAAAUUUUAUAAAUUAUUAGUACGAAAGGACCAUAAUAUAAAUAUUAUUAUUAAAU
RNAcentral lists this ribosomal RNA (1137 nucleotides) under Megathrips lativentris. RNAcentral describes it as "16S ribosomal RNA". The record is from RNAcentral. Lineage: Eukaryota; Metazoa; Arthropoda; Insecta; Thysanoptera; Phlaeothripidae.